This 1117-nucleotide ribosomal RNA is filed under the name 'Vitis vinifera' phytoplasma (Canada). Its description in RNAcentral is "bacterial SSU rRNA". It matches the Rfam family "Bacterial small subunit ribosomal RNA", at positions 208 to 1346 of the family's 1533-position model. Lineage: Bacteria; Bacillati; Mycoplasmatota; Mollicutes; Acholeplasmatales; Acholeplasmataceae. The record is from RNAcentral.
AAUAGGUAUGCUUAGGGAGGAGCUUGCGUCACAUUAGUUAGUUGGUGGGGUAAAGGCCUACCAAGACUAUGAUGUGUAGCCGGGCUGAGAGGUUGAACGGCCACAUUGGGACUGAGACACGGCCCAAACUCCUACGGGAGGCAGCAGUAGGGAAUUUUCGGCAAUGGAGGAAACUCUGACCGAGCAACGCCGCGUGAACGAUGAAGUAUUUCGGUACGUAAAGUUCUUUUAUUAGGGAAGAAUAAAUGAUGGAAAAAUCAUUCUGACGGUACCUAAUGAAUAAGCCCCGGCUAACUAUGUGCCAGCAGCCGCGGUAAUACAUAGGGGGCAAGCGUUAUCCGGAAUUAUUGGGCGUAAAGGGUGCGUAGGCUGUUAAAUAAGUUUAUGGUCUAAGUGCAAUGCUCAACAUUGUGAUGCUAUAAAAACUGUUUAGCUAGAGUAAGAUAGAGGCAAGUGGAAUUCCAUGUGUAGUGGUAAAAUGCGUAAAUAUAUGGAGGAACACCAGUAGCGAAGGCGGCUUGCUGGGUCUUUACUGACGCUGAGGCACGAAAGCGUGGGGAGCAAACAGGAUUAGAUACCCUGGUAGUCCACGCCGUAAACGAUGAGUACUAAACGUUGGGUAAAACCAGUGUUGAAGUUAACACAUUAAGUACUCCGCCUGAGUAGUACGUACGCAAGUAUGAAACUUAAAGGAAUUGACGGGACUCCGCACAAGCGGUGGAUCAUGUUGUUUAAUUCGAAGGUACCCGAAAAACCUCACCAGGUCUUGACAUGCUUCUGCAAAGCUGUAGAAACACAGUGGAGGUUAUCAGUUGCACAGGUGGUGCAUGGUUGUCGUCAGCUCGUGUCGUGAGAUGUUGGGUUAAGUCCCGCAACGAGCGCAACCCUUAUUGUUAGUUGCCAGCACGUAAUGUGGGGACUUUAGCAAGACUGCCAGUGAUAAAUUGGAGGAGGUGGGGACGACGUCAAAUCAUCAUGCUCCUUAUGACCUGGGCUACAAACGUGAUACAUUGCUGUACAAGGUUAGCUGAAACGCAAGUUUUUGGCGAUCUCAAAAACAGUCUCAGUUCGGAUUGAGUCUGCACCUCGACUCAUGAGUUGUAUCGCUAGUAUCGCG